Pistacia vera is the source of this 1876-nucleotide RNA transcript. It is a transcript of the gene named tryptophan--tRNA ligase, chloroplastic/mitochondrial, with no coding region annotated. The record is from RefSeq and is a predicted model, not a curated record. NCBI's taxonomy places the organism in Eukaryota, Viridiplantae, Streptophyta, Magnoliopsida, Sapindales, Anacardiaceae. The transcript has 16 exons.
ACAUCCCGUGGAUAAAAAACAAUCCGGUAAGAGAGCCAAAAUGGGGCGUGCUCUUUUUUCUAAUUUUCUCAUCGUCUCAAACUCAUCUCCACGCCUCACCUCUUCACUGUCGUUCGGUGGCCUUGGUGGUAAAAACUGGAAAAUACCGCCGCCAAUUCGUCAGCAUCGUUCACUUGUCAGAUACAACGGCAGUGGUUUUCGUUGUAACUGCAGUGUCUCGCUCUCGCAACCUGCUGCUCCCGAGGCGUCCUCAAGCUCUGUUAGGAAGAGGAUAGUGUCUGGAGUUCAGCCAACAGGAUCCAUACACCUUGGGAAUUAUCUUGGUGCCAUAAAAAAUUGGAUAGCACUUCAGAAUACUUAUGAGACUCUCUUUUUUAUCGUGGAUCUUCAUGCGAUUACACUACCAUAUGAUACACAACAAUUAUCUAAGGCAACAAGGGAUACAGCAGCUAUCUAUUUGGCAUGCGGAGUUGACACCUCCAAGAUGCAGGCUUCUGUUUUCGUGCAGUCUCACGUUCGUGCCCAUGUAGAAUUGAUGUGGCUACUAAGUUCUGCCACACCAAUUGGUUGGCUGAAUAGAAUGAUUCAGUUUAAGGAAAAAUCUCGUAAAGCGGGAGAUGAAAAUGUUGGGGUUGCUCUUUUGACUUAUCCUGUUUUGAUGGCUUCUGAUAUUCUUCUAUACCAGUCUGACUUUGUCCCUGUUGGUGAGGAUCAGAAGCAGCAUUUGGAGUUGACUCGUGAACUGGCUGAACGUGUUAAUUAUUUAUAUGGAGGAAGGAAGUGGAAAAAGUUGGGAGGGCGAGGUGGUGCUAUUUUUAAGGUUCCUGAACCCUUAAUACCACCAGCUGGAGCCCGAGUUAUGUCCCUCACUGAUGGUCUUUCCAAGAUGUCCAAGUCUGCACCUUCAGAUCAGUCUCGUAUCAAUAUUCUUGACCCCAAAGAUGUAAUAGCGAAUAAGAUUAAACGUUGCAAAACUGACUCGUAUCCAGGCCUGGAGUUUGACAAUCCUGAAAGACCUGAAUGCAACAAUCUUCUUUCAAUAUAUCAGCUCAUGUCAGGGAAGACAAAAGAGGAAGUUGCAGAGGAAUGCCAUAAUAUGAACUGGGGCACAUUUAAAUCUGUCCUAACAGAUGCAUUGAUCGAACAUCUGCAUCCCAUACAGGUUCGCCAUGCAGAGAUCAUUUCUGAUUCAACUUAUUUGGAUAAAGUCCUAGCAGAAGGUGCUUCAAAAGCUGGAGAUAUAGCGGAUGCUACUCUCAAUAAUGUCUACCAGGCAAUGGGAUUCUUGCGGACAUGAUUGAAUUGAUGUUUUAGGAGGUAUUUCUGGUGAAAUAUCUAAACUACAACAACCUCAAAGUCAACUUUUGGAUGAUCCAUUAUCGCCCACAAGGUUAACCUUUGGAUGAUCAAUCAUUGCCCACAAAUUUUUUGGACAAGACCCUUAUCAUAUUCUUGAUGAGUGAAAAAAAGAAUUUAUUUUGAGGCCCACAAAUUCUUUGUUGCAGUUGCCUCAACCUCUCCUUUCCGGGCAGAGAUAUCAUCUGGGGAAAAAUUGUAGGCGUUUGUUCCAUGUUAAGAUUGGACGUGCCAAAGGCCGAAAGAACUCUAGAUGUUCACAGGCUCUCGAGCUUAUGUCCGUAUGCCACGUUCCCACAGAGGAUUAGGUUGCUUUUCCUCUUUCCUGGUUCUGCUAUGAACGAUUUAAAGUUUUAAACAAUCAAACUAACGACACAAGAUCUUAUCUUAUUGGUAAGGAUAACAAAUACGGGCCCGCCUUUUCACUUCUUUGCGGCUUCGCCUCAAGAUAUUUCAACUUAAGAAUGUAAAUAUGUAAUAAUAUCCUGUUAUCUCAGUUUGUACGCGGGUCAUUGUAAAU